Long non-coding RNA from Prionailurus viverrinus (fishing cat), 1765 nucleotides. RefSeq lists it as uncharacterized. The transcript has 4 exons. NCBI's taxonomy places the organism in Eukaryota, Metazoa, Chordata, Mammalia, Carnivora, Felidae. The record is from RefSeq and is a predicted model, not a curated record.
CGUGUGCCGGAAAGGCAGUCGGCCGCUUCUCCGGAGGUCGCGGAACCUGCGGUCUGUGUAACCCCGACUCUGGGCUCUCGUUCAAUACAAGUCGUAGCUGCUCUCCUGACUGGUUUCCAAGUCGGAAAGAAGCGCCGACCGCAACUUGCGGCUUGCGUAAUCAAAGGGCAUGUUUAAAGAGCAGACCGCAACCGAGUUUCCAGGGGCGGGCGACUCCUGGGCCCACCCGAGAACACGUUAAUUUAGCCGGCGCUGAGCCCUGCAAGAAGUCUUAGAUGAAGGGGCGCGGCUCUACCCUCUGGGAGCAGGCUCACAAUUGUGGGUGGGAGAUAGAGGAUCCACGCCCAGCCGAGGCCUAUGGUAGUAAGAUAGACGUCCUUCCCUGGAGGAAGAGGUCAGUGCAGGGUGGAAGGCAUUUCUCCAGGUCACCUUUCUAGGAGGAGGUGACUUUUGAGCUAUUAGGUGGAAACAAAAAGGCUUUGACGUCGUACACAUCAGGGUUCCAGCCUCUGCACGGGUCACACCCCCGCUCUGUGAACCCUGAACACAUCAGCAAAGCUCAGAGUGUUUCCAUCUUUAAGAUGCAGAUAGCAGUAGAUGCCCAGUAACAUUUUUGAGGAGCCCCUCCCUCCCCUGCCCGCCCCGGGUGAUCAUGUUAAUUUCUCCCUCAAUUUUACUCCCUCUCUUCUUUUCCUCAGUCUCUUCCUUUCAUUCUUUCCAUUUUCUUUCUUUUCUCCUUCAUUCCUUCAUUUUUCUUUUUUCUAAUUGAGGUAUAACCUACACAUAAUAACCUGCACAGAACUUAAGAGGACACGUAGGUGAACUUUUAUGUAUGUAUACACAAGAAAUCAGCUCCCAGAUCAAGACGUAGGACGUUUCAGUCACCCCAGGUUUCCACCUGCUCCUUCCCAGCCAAUGCUUAUCACCCCAGAGUUUGGGGCUAUUAUGAAGAAGCUGCUGUGAACAUUCUUACAGUCUUGGUGAAUAAAUGCACUCGAUUUUAUUGGGUAUGUAGCAGCAGGGUGUUACCUCUUAACAGUCCAAAUGUCGGGCUGGCUUUGAGUACAGAGGUGAUGGACUAAUGUCCCAACUGCCUCACGUGGACCACACAGGUGACCCCGAGGACUGUGGGCUGGGACAAGGCAGUCACUCUCACCAAGAUGCCACCUGGGACUCUGACCUUUGGGCCCCAGGGACACUCCGGCGAACGAGACGGCCCGUGGCCCUCAGUUGAGCAGCAGCAGGAUGUUCAAAUGGCCACACCGUGCAUGUGUGAAGAGGGAAGAAAGCGUGAUGACACGAUCUGGGUGUGGAUUUCAAGGUAGAAAUGGAACAAAUGUUGAGAAACAUCUUUAAGAAGAAUGCCUUUGCAGAAUUGUUUCCGGUUUCUCCAAGUCUCUUCCUAGCACCUGGCAGAACGUCAGCACAGGAAAGGGAUUUGGUCCCGCAGCCCACCCUGGGGGUUGUUGUUUUAUAGACUUGAAGGUGGCCUCAGGCUGAGCACCUCUCCUUAGAUGCUUCCGACACACAACCUGCACACACAGGCAGAAGGCUGUUGUGGUUCAAAUGGGUGUUUAAAGUGAGUGUGCAGGGGCGCCUGGGUGGCCCAGUCAGUUAAGCGUCCGACUCUUGAUCUCAGCUCAGGUCUUGAUCUCAGGGCUGUGAGUUUGGGCCGCAGGUUGCACUCUUAGCCGGGCAUGAAGCCUACUUAAAAACAAACAAACAGACAAACAAACAAGUGGGGUGUGCCUUCAUCUCUGACCAG